UAUGUAGGCGAUUUACAACAGAGUUCACCUACAACAAAAGUAUGGUUUCAUAGCAGGAGCAUUAGUUGUGUUUCUUUGACUACAUGUAAGAACAAUUGUUUAUAGAAUUAUUGCUUUGCAGGUCAACAUUCUGAAAGCAUUACUAUUGCAAAGGACAACAUUAGCAGCAUCAGUAACAGCAUCAAAUGGUCUAUGGCGACGAAAACCAAAUCAAUUCUUCCCGUGCAACGAUCAGUGCAGCUAAAAUCUACAACGCUUCUAGUACUAACAACCUCUGAAAGCAAAAAAUCAAAGACAAAAGUAGAAUUCAGAGGUCGCACGACAGACGUGAAACUAACCAUAUUCUGAAACCUGACACCUUACAAAAUCAGAAUUCAACCCAAACAGACGCGCUAAUCUUUCAUCUACAAUGGCAAGGAAAAAAGUAGUACCAUGACCAGUACAACUAGAAUCUAGAACUAUAAUGCUUCAAGCACUAAGAACCUCUGGAAAAAAAUCGAAGGCAUAACUAUCAGAGUCCGCACGACAGACCUCAAACUAACCACAUUCUAAAACCUGGAAUCUUUAAGACCAAACUACACAGAGAUAAAAUCUAAUAGAACAUGAACUCAAUGUAUCAUAUUCAAGUGGUAGGUAAAAUAGAGAUAUCUUGUGUGCGUAGGGUAGAAAGCAAUCAGCAACCUGAAACCAUCUCAGAGGAACUGCUUGCUAAGAACCUCAACACACACUGACAAAGCCGCUUCAACAUUCCCACAAUCCUUGUCAAUCCGUUGUCAUUCAUGUACAUCACCCGAAAUCAAUCAAAUUUGUCUAAGAAGAAAAAUAAUAUCUUGUGGAGAGGGAUGAUUCUAAGUUCCUAACCUUACACUCCAAAUAGCUAUCAUACAUAAUGCUUCUUUUACUGCGUUUUCUCGAGCAGGUAAAUCUGUAGAUAAAAGAAAUGUUCACAUACAUGACAUGCUGAAAUUCAAUUUUUUAUAUAACUCAGUAUAGCGAAGGCAAUGAGUAGUAGAUGCAUGAUGUCAGUGUUGCUUUUCGGCCAAAAAAAUGGAAGUGGAUACAAGCGAACAGACACUAAUUGUAUACAUGUGGCACCGCACUACUAACAAUGAUAUAACUAAUUGGUGAUACCAAAUAAGAGGAAGAUUAUUCACUUGCAGUUGCCUUGUUCGCGGUAAUCUGCUGCACACUGGUAAUUAUAUAAAUAUAUUUUCCACAAUUCAGAUUGUUAAAUAUAUGCAAUUCUACCCUCAUCUACACAUCCAAUCAUCUAAGAAUCACUGAGUCUCCUCUUGAUGCAAGCCAUAAUUUUAUUUCUCCACAAUUCAAUAAAUAUAUGCAACUCUACCUUCAUCUACAAACCCAAUCAAACUCACUCAAUCUCCUCCCGACGGAAGUGAUAGCUACCUAAACUAAAAGCUUCCAAAACACCAAGGGAAAGUAAUUGAAAUUGCAGUGGCUAGGUGAAAUUAGACUUGAACAUACCUAUUGUGGUCAAUAUUUACUACUCACAAAAAUGAUUAUGGCCGUCUUCUGUCCAAGGAGAAACCAGAGGAAUCAACAACCCCCGAACAGACCCACAACAAUAUAUGGUUAUACACCUUGAAUUAAACAAGUGUUUCCACUAGAGCAAUUCCUGCAAAAUAAAAGAACAACACACUAUGAAUAGGUAGACAAGGAAGCCAAUAGCCAUCUAGCUAUAUAAUAAUUGUCAUAGCAGAACAUAUUGGAGAGAUUACCUUGGCAGGCAAUAGAUGGUG
RNAcentral lists this long non-coding RNA (1760 nucleotides) under Triticum aestivum (bread wheat). Its description in RNAcentral is "long non-coding RNA (TAES_LNC000729)". Lineage: Eukaryota; Viridiplantae; Streptophyta; Magnoliopsida; Poales; Poaceae. The record is from RNAcentral.